This 2131-nucleotide long non-coding RNA is filed under the name Capra hircus (goat). Its description in RNAcentral is "lncRNA (ENSCHIG00010032083.1)". The record is from RNAcentral. Lineage: Eukaryota; Metazoa; Chordata; Mammalia; Artiodactyla; Bovidae.
GCAGAUGCAUGAUCAACACCGAAGAGACAGACUCGCAGGCUGCUGAGCACAGUGCCUCCAGAAGGGUGUCUUGGAGCCAGACGUGAAGACACACUCGCUCAUGACCUGUUGAUGGACCCUCAAAGGCAAGAAGGUACCACCUUGUGAACCGAGUGUAGGCAGAAAUGGCACAGAAUCAAACCAACUUUGCCCUCAAUGGGAGGAACCAGGCCUUGGGACAGUCUGGGCAGUGAGACACAGCGACUGGUUCCUGAGGUCGAAGUGGGAGUGACACACCACUGCUAAAACCAGAAACGCUUGACAGAAACAGUCAUGGUCUGGUAGAGCAGCUACACCUGUGGUCAAAGCCCUCGCGAAGCCAGGAGCACUCCAACCACCCCUUGUCCUGAGCAUCACAUUCUAGAACUUGGGAGAACUGCCUCCUCCUUAGCAGACUCAGAGCUGCUGAAGUCCAACAGCUUCACGGGGCCCCAGUGCCCACCCGCUGCUGAAGCAGGACCUGCUCUGGCCAUGACCACGUGCUCAUGCCCUGCUGUUCCUGUCGGGGCCAAAUGCCUCCAAGGUCCUGGCUUCAACCUGAUGGCUUUUUCCACAACUCUUCUAAAUCUGGACACCAUUUAAGAAAGCAGGUGUGAACAGUUCAGUAAGCCGAGGUUACAGGUACGGAAAGUGAGGCCUCGAGUUACCUUAGCAUCGCCAGGACUGAAACCAGACUGGCUUCAGCACACGAGAAGCUAUACAAGCUGGGGAGCCAGGCUGUGUGCAAGUGUUGCACAGCAACCGCACCUGCACGGGGGAAGCCAGUCUGGCCAGCUCUGAAGGUCCCUGGCCUGUGGUUCCCAGUUCCAUGUUGUCCUGAGAAUGAAGUUUCUCCAACACACCUGAAACGAUGGCAUCAUUCAGCAAAAGUGACAGGUGAGGGAACAACUGAAGCUCACCCUGAAAACGUUUUUGCUCUCCAGUUAGUCCACUACAUAACCUGGGCACGAGGGGGCUAUUUUGGGCUACCUUCAAUAUUUACCAAAUUCAGUAACUAUAGAAAAAAUGUAACAAAAAUAACAGCUCUGUAAGACUCGAGUGGCACACGUGUUAGUUUAAGUGGUCAUAACUGGAGCCUGAGAACACAACCCGAGUGGGUCCUUGGUAUUUCUAAAUGAUACCCAGCCAGCAUUUAACGGCAGUGACGAUGGUGGAGAAGUGCUGUCUAGUCUUGAGCUUGACCUUGAUCCAUUAACAUUUAAUUUUUAAAGGGACACGUUGGUGGAUUUCCAGUACAAAGACUAAAGUUGAAGAUUCAAAGGAAAUGCAUCCAAAGUUUCCUGGUGGGGGAACAAUGCUGACUUAAACAUUCCAACUUUUCUGAGUACUACAAAUGUUUAUGUUACAAUCAUGGAAAGAUUAAUCAACUUUAAAAGACAGUCUUAAAAUGAAUAGAAAACAACCUGUAGGUUCUAAAGGGGAACAUAUGGCUAAAGAGGUUAAUUGCACCUCAUUAAUAGGAAUAACCACCCAUAUCUCUAUAGAGUAAUGUAACUAAGAACCACAGGUAAAAUGUAUUAGCUCAAUGGAUGAAGAAUGCUUGUGUGACUGGUCUUUGAAAGGGUAGUUCUUGCAACGUACACACACUCAUACAACUUAAACUGUGCCAUAUGCAAAAAAAGAAAAGACAUUAUUUAGAGCAGUACUGGUGAUCCGAAAAUUUUAAUUUCUUUUAACCUUAUAUUUAAAAACAUAAGCUAUUUUAUAAUCUCUUAUGCAGAUAUUCACAAAUUCAAACCAUUUAAUGGGUUCACAUUAGCUGUCAAUCCCCACAGCGUUUUUACUGGUAUUCAGCGAGUCUCAGCUUUUACACCUGACGUAUCAGCUAUCUCACUGAUAGCCAGGUGCACACAGUACUUUUAGGCCUGCUGCAUGGACAGGAUUCUUAUAAUUUUCAAAUAAAUCCCAUUUCUUAAAACAGUAAUUCCACUGAAGUCCAGCAAAAACACAACCCACCCAGGUCAAGGUUUGCCAAGUGGUACUUUAUUGAGAGACAGCCUUGACUUUAAUUUCCUGAGGCUUACAAUGAAUGGGUGCCCCAUGGGCAGUGUACCCCCUCCCUGCAUCAGCUUUUGUCUGGCCCCCAUGAGCA